UGGGGAAUAUUGCACAAUGGGGGAAACCCUGAUGCAGCGACGCCGCGUGAAGGAAGAAGUAUUUCGGUAUGUAAACUUCUAUCAGCAGGGAAGAAAAUGACGGUACCUGAGUAAGAAGCACCGGCUAAAUACGUGCCAGCAGCCGCGGUAAUACGUAUGGUGCAAGCGUUAUCCGGAUUUACUGGGUGUAAAGGGAGCGUAGACGGAUAGGCAAGUCUGGAGUGAAAACCCAGGGCUCAACCCUGGGACUGCUUUGGAAACUGCAGAUCUGGAGUGCCGGAGAGGUAAGCGGAAUUCCUAGUGUAGCGGUGAAAUGCGUAGAUAUUAGGAGGAACACCAGUGGCGAAGGCGGCUUACUGGACGGUGACUGACGUUGAGGCUCGAAAGCGUGGGGAGCAAACAGGAUUAGAUACCC
RNAcentral lists this ribosomal RNA (415 nucleotides) under uncultured bacterium. Its description in RNAcentral is "bacterial SSU rRNA". It matches the Rfam family "Bacterial small subunit ribosomal RNA", at positions 355 to 787 of the family's 1533-position model. The record is from RNAcentral.